RNAcentral lists this unclassified non-coding RNA (338 nucleotides) under soil metagenome. Its description in RNAcentral is "partial contains 5.8S ribosomal RNA, internal transcribed spacer 2, and large subunit ribosomal RNA". The stretch from base 1 to 120 matches the Rfam family "5.8S ribosomal RNA", at positions 35 to 154 of the family's 154-position model. The record is from RNAcentral.
GAUGAAGAACGCAGCGAAAUGCGAUAAGUAGUGUGAAUUGCAGAAUUCAGUGAAUCAUCGAAUCUUUGAACGCACAUUGCGCCCUUUGGUAUUCCUUAGGGCAUGCCUGUUCGAGCGUCAUUUAAACCCUUCAAGCUCAGCUUGGUGUUGGGUGACUGUCCGCCGCCCCCGGGCGCGGACUCGCCCCAAAUUCAUUGGCGGCCGGUACGUAGGCUUCGAGCGCAGCAGAAACGCGAACUCGGGCCCGCGGUGUCGGCUCCCAGAAGCCAUCUCUUUUAUUUUGAUCUCGGAUCAGGUAGGGAUACCCGCUGAACUUAAGCAUAUCAAUAAGCGGAGGA